CCUACGGGUGGCUGCAGUGGGGAAUAUUGCGCAAUGGGCGAAAGCCUGACGCAGCGACGCCGCGUGAGGGAUGAAGGUCUUCGGAUCGUAAACCUCUGUCAGCAGGGAAGAACGGUCACUUUGCUAAUCAGCAGUGAAUUGACGGUACCUGCAAAGGCAGCACCGGCUAACUCCGUGCCAGCAGCCGCGGUAAUACGGAGGGUGCGAGCGUUAAUCGGAAUUACUGGGCGUAAAGCGCUCGUAGGCGGUAUGUCAAGUCAAGGGUGAAAUCCCCGCGCUCAACGUGGGAACUGCAGUUGAAACUGGCGUACUGGAGUGUGUGAGAGGAUAGCGGAAUUCCAGGUGUAGGAGUGAAAUCCGUAGAUAUGUGGAGGAACCUCAGUGGCGAAGGCGACUAGCUGGAACAUAACUGACGCUGAGGAGCGAAAGCGUGGGUAGCAAACAGGAUUAGAUACCCGUGUAGUC
RNAcentral lists this ribosomal RNA (465 nucleotides) under uncultured bacterium. Its description in RNAcentral is "partial 16S ribosomal RNA". It matches the Rfam family "Bacterial small subunit ribosomal RNA", at positions 338 to 795 of the family's 1533-position model. The record is from RNAcentral.